Molecule: long non-coding RNA, 4011 nt
Organism: Neogale vison (American mink)
Lineage: Eukaryota; Metazoa; Chordata; Mammalia; Carnivora; Mustelidae
Exons: 7
Source: RefSeq, a predicted model, not a curated record
AAAAUAAAGCAACCUGGUUACAACCUCAGAGACACGUAAAAUGGGAAAUAAUAAUAUAAAUUAAUUUCAACCGUUAGUUAUAAGGUCAUCCUCCUAGCUUUCACAUCAAGUCUUUGGUCAAGUACAGUAUACCCCCCAGAAAUAGCUCUGUAAAAUACCUAAUUCUCUUGCUUUGUCUCAAACAACAUCAAGUAUUAAUAGGCUUUUAUCUUUGAGUUUUACUUUAAAAUUCUUAACCGAUUUUUUUAUAAUAAUGGGGAAUUUUCAAAAGUUGCCCAACUUUUCACUGUCUUUUUCUUUCAUUCUGGUGAGGCAGGCAGACUGGCUACUUGACCUCCAAGUUCCUUUCCCCAUAUUCGUUUCCAGGCUUCGAGUCCAUUAGCUCAGUCAAAGCACACUUAGAGAAAAGACUUUCCUUGCCUUACCUUCUUCAUUUUCCUUCACUCCCCGUUGCCCAGCACCACAGCACCUCCAAAAUCAAGAGCCAGGAGUUCCCACUCCACAGACAGUUUUAGGUAUGGAGUUUUUAAAAAACUCUUGUGUACCCUGGGGGAGGGGCAGGUCAGUUACUGUUGAAUGUGUACAGAACUCAUGUUUGGGAUGAUGAAAAGUUUCUGGAAAUGGUGGUGACGGCCACACAACACUGAUGUAGUAAAUGCCGCUGAAUUAUACACUUUAACAUGAUUAAAAUGGUAAGCCUUCUGUAUAUUUUGUCACAAUUAAAAAAAAAAAAAAUCCUGUUCAUACUGCCUGUCUUGUGUGUUUGUAUACAUCCCUAAAUACAGAUGCAUCACUCCAUGGCUAGCAGCAACUCAGAAGGAUGAAGAAGUCAGUGAAAUAUAAAGUGUAAAGCAAUUUCAUUCCUUAAAAAAACUACAAGAUAGAACAAAGCACACACAUCCUUUGCCAGCUGCCUUUGGAAACCGGCUCUGUUUGCUCAUGCGCAGAAAAAAGCCAAGCCCCGGGAUGGUAUUGACAAGAACAAGAUGAAUGACCCCCUGGAGACCAUAGGAAACUGGAUAUUAAUUUUGGUGCUGCAGCCUUAGCUACACACAUACAUCUGUACCCAGAAGCAGACACUGUUUUCUGGAAGGUCGCCAUCCGAGCACGUCCGUGUCCGUGACCUCCGCUCAGCCAAGGCAGCACCUGAGCCCUGACCUCCUUGGUGAGCACCUGGAGGGCCCGAAGGACUCCAGAAGACCUGCAGCUCCGUUGUACGCGGGUCCUGGGGAGGCCGGCAGUGGGCGUCUCGUCCUGCCUGACGACCAAGCAGGGAUGUCCUCGGCUUCCCGAACUCUGCGGAUCACCUCUGAAACGCCCAUACUCUAUGUGUGUGCUGCGUCUUGCUGCUGUAACGCGUUGUCGCCGACUUAGCAACUCAACACAGAUUCAGGCGCCAGUAGUUCUGGAGCUCGGAACGCCGGCGUGGGUCCUAAAGUCAAGAAAUAUCUGGCGAGCGUCUGCUGGACCUCCCCUCCGCGCUCCAGGGCAGAUGGAGAAGCUGGACCUUCACUUGUUCCUUCCCACGGGCACAUAUCCAGCCGUCCAGCCGUGCAGCCGUCCAGCCAGCCUCCCAGACUCCCAGCCUCCUGGGAUGUUUUGAUGUGACAUGUGUAACACACGCUGCGACCCAGGCAUUCGGACCGGAUGGCCAAAGGCACUUGAGCUGAUUCACGGUCGGCUGUCCUUCACCUUGGGGCCCUGACAAUGGGAAGCUGGGCUGGAUCCCGGGACUUCUGAGGGUGUGGAGGAAUGACGGGAGGUGGGGGGCACUCAGGGGUCCCCCCGCCAGCCUGCAGGACCAGUCCGCUCUGCUGAGCCAGCUAAGACUUUGUAACCUGCCAAGACCCCUGCCCACCAGCCCCACAGUGGAGGUGCUGCCCAGUGUGCUGCUGCCCACGUGCACACUGCAGGACAAGUCCCAGGGGACAUACAGAAAGCACCAGGAGGCCGCUUGAAAUUAAUUCUCAAGGAGAGAGCCUCCCUGUGCUUUUUGAGGGAGAGGUGGCCCUGGCUUGCUGCUGAGGGCAGUGACCUACACCCGCGUUAGCAAUGGACACCUCGGAGAGGGAACUUGGCUGCAUAGGACCCCCGUCAAUGGUCAAGGACCGGGAAGAGAAGAGAUGGUUUCUUUUUAGAAAGAACCUCCAGUGAAGCAGUGAAAUCACACACACACACACACACACACACACCUGCAAAACACAUCUGAGCUGGGGCAACCAUGGGGAAGUGUCCCGCUAGGAAUGUGUUAUCUUCCUUUAAGAAGCAACCAGCUCCCCCAUAGCCGGACUCUGCUUUCCAGCCCAGGCCACGCUCUUCCUGAGCUGCCCCAUCAGUGACUGAACUUGGAGUGGAAACUUACGUUUUGGGGGCGUGGGCAUUGCUACCUGUCCCAGUCCUCUAAUAGGGAGUCAUUGUUCCGGAGCUGGCGGAGACUCUGCCCGAUUUGCCCCACGGGCCGGGGCUCCCCUUGCUCAACCCUGGUUCCUCCCCUUUCACCUUUUAAAUCUCUUGCUCUUUCUCUGUGUCUGUGACCGCUUCCCAGAGGGCCUGCCUAGUGCAGGAGCACAAACAGGAAGACGUUUGGAAAUCGCAGUGGACCAAAGUCCUUUCUCAGCCCCGACUGCACCGCAGGCCGGAAUCAGCGACCUGUAACGGAUUGGUUGAGUCAGCGGCAGGUGCUAGAAAGGAGCCUGACCACAUGUGUGUCGCUUAUUGGUCAUACUGGGCUGGGGUCUUUGGCUUCCUGUCUUCACGGUGUCCGCCAGCGUGGCUCCUCCAUUAAGUUCCCUCGGCCCUGCAGUAGUGAGCCUCCAGCUGCUUCGUGCCGGGAGUGCCGGGACCGGCGGACUCACUCGGACCCGGGGACACCAGGCUCCUGGCUCGAGCCUCGGUGUCAGCAAACCCAGCAGAUGCCUCCAGAAAGGAUCUCAAGGCCUCAAUCUCCGGCCUUCCUCCGUCCUUCACGGAUGUGUCCAACCCCAUCAACAGUGAGUCUUCUGUGAGUGUAAGAUUUUUAAUCCCACCCCAGCAGGAGCCCAUCUUCCCUCCGACCUCCUGCCGAUGUUAAUUUGGAAUGGGGCUGGGGAGCAGAUACGGACAGGAAGGGGUUCCAGGGAGGCUGAGGAUGGAAAUGCAGACUGGGAUGAUGGAGGAGGAGGCCGAAGACAAGACUUUGCCUAUGUUAAGGGUUCAGCUGUGUAACCCCCCCAAAGAUACAUGAAGUCCUACCCCCCAGGGCCUGUGAACAUGACCUUAUUUGGGGGUACGGAUUUUGCAGUUGUGAUCAAGAUCUGAUGACAUCAUCAGGGUGGGCCCUACUCCGCUUUGAUGGGACGAGAAGAAGGCUCCAUGGAGCGGGGGCAGGGUGGGGGAGGCAGAGCCCUCGGAGAUGCUGCCACCGGGAAGUGAAUGGGCUCUCGGGGACGAGCACCGCGGGCGGCGGGGGACCGGCAAGCGGCAGUGGGAGGAGGAGAAGAGUGCCCCGGGCCUGUAGAUCCGCAGGGGCAAGCGUUCUGGAAGAGGACGGAGGUCCGGAAUGAAAGGCGGGCUCCGGCUCAUGUUCCCAGAAGGCAAGGCGGGAAGAGAAAGCUGGCCUGCCGGCCGGCCGGGCUCCCCAGGACUGCAAGGACAGCGUCGUGGGACGAGCAGCACCUGCGGGAGACCCCGGGGUCCCUCGUCGCCUCCGGGAGCCGCGCGGAGAGACGGACGGAGCCACCUGUCCCGAGUGUGGUGUCUGGCUUCGGGAGAACUGAAGAAAGGUUUCUUUGCUAAGACUCACCUCCUUCGUUAGAAUUGCCCAGAAGGGCAGCAGCAGCGGCAGCGCUUCCGGAGAUCAAAGGGUCUGUAUCCCCCAGUGACAGUAUGAGCGGUUUAGGAAUCCCUUGUCACCCCGGAGACAUGGCAGCCGGGGCCAUGGUUCUCACAACCUGCGGCUGCUGAGCGCUGCCAGUGAGAGCCUGGCUGGCGGCGGGCACGGGCAGGGCACCGGGGGGCAUGGGGCAGAGAGUG